Molecule: ribosomal RNA, 253 nt
Filed under: uncultured bacterium
Lineage: Bacteria
Description: partial 16S ribosomal RNA
Rfam family: Bacterial small subunit ribosomal RNA
Source: RNAcentral
UACGUAGGGGGCAAGCGUUAUCCGAAUUUACUGGGUGUAAAGGGAGCGUAGACGGCCAGACAAGUCUGAAGUGAAAAUCCAGCGCUUAACGUUGGAAGUGCUUUGGAAACUGCCGGGCUAGAGUGCAGGAGGGGCAGGCGGAAUUCCUAGUGUAGCGGUGAAAUGCGUAGAUAUUAGGAGGAACACCAGUGGCGAAGGCGGCCUGCUGGACUGCAACUGACGUUGAGGCUCGAAGGCGUGGGGAGCAAACAGG